This 492-nucleotide ribosomal RNA is filed under the name uncultured bacterium. Its description in RNAcentral is "partial 16S ribosomal RNA". It matches the Rfam family "Bacterial small subunit ribosomal RNA", at positions 29 to 507 of the family's 1533-position model. The record is from RNAcentral.
AAUGAACGCUGGCGGCAGGCCUAAUACAUGCAAGUCGAACGACAGCGCGGUAAGCUUUCGCCUCUACGGUUGGCGAGUGGCGGACGGGUGACGCGUACAUCACCUUCCUCUUUUUCUGGGGUGACUUCGUGGGGCCACAUCUGCUACUAGCUCACAUGAUCUACGGCUUAAUUCAGCAGAUCAUAGCACUCUUCCCGUCUCAUUUAGCUGAUGUCGGAGUAGCUAGUUGGCUAGGUAAAGUCCCACCAAGGCGACGAUCCGUAGCUGGUCUGAGAGGAUGAUCAGCCACACUGGAACUGAGACACGGUCCAGACUCCUACGGGAGGCAGCAGUGGGGAAUAUUGGGCAAUGGGCGCAAGCCUGAUCCAGCCAUACCGCGUGAGUGAAGAAGGCCUUCGGGUUGUAAAGCCCUUUUAUUGGGAAAGAAAAGCAGCAGGUGAAUACCCCGCUGUUCUGACGGUACCCAAAGAAUAAGCACCGGCUAACUUCGUG